Molecule: ribosomal RNA, 445 nt
Filed under: uncultured bacterium
Lineage: Bacteria
Description: bacterial SSU rRNA
Rfam family: Bacterial small subunit ribosomal RNA
Source: RNAcentral
GACGAACGCUGGCGGCGUGCAUAACACAUGCAAGUCAAGGGGGUCAGUAGCAAUACUGGCAACCGGCGAACGGGUGCGUAACACGUAAGCGACCUACCUCGAUGUGGGGCAUAGCCGGCCUAACGGCCGGGUAAUUCCGCAUAAGAUCCCGAUGAGGCAUCUCAUUGGGAUGAAACCAGUAAUGGGCGUCGAGAGGGGCUUGCGGCCUAUCAGCUAGUUGGUGAGGAACGGCUCACCAAGGCUACGACGGGUAGCUGGUCUGAGAGGAUGGCCAGCCAUAUUGGGACUGAGAUACGGCCCAGACUCCUACGGGAGGCAGCAGUGGGGAAUCUUGCGCAAUGGCCUAACGGCUGACGCAGCGACGCCGCGUGAGGGAUGAAGCUUUUCGGAGUGUAAACCUCUGUUGCCCGGGACGAAUAGCGGAUUAUUCCGACUUGACGGUACC